CCCUGCCAUUUGUACACACCGCCCGUCGCUACUACCGAUUGAAUGGCUUAGUGAGGCCUUGGGAUUCCGGAUUCCCAGAAAUGGGAGUCACGGGAAAACUUGGCCAAACUUGGUCAUUUAGAGGAAGUAAAAGUCGUAACAAGGUUUCCGUAG
RNAcentral lists this ribosomal RNA (153 nucleotides) under uncultured eukaryote. RNAcentral describes it as "partial small subunit ribosomal RNA". It matches the Rfam family "Eukaryotic small subunit ribosomal RNA", at positions 1651 to 1808 of the family's 1831-position model. The record is from RNAcentral.